AGUCGAACGAUGAAGCCGGAGCUUGCUCUGGUGGAUUAGUGGCGAACGGGUGAGUAACACGUGAGUAACCUGCCCCUGACUCUGGGAUAAGCGCUGGAAACGGCGUCUAAUACCGGAUAUGCGCUGUAACCGCAUGGUUUGCAGCGGGAAAGAUUUAUCGGUUGGGGAUGGACUCGCGGCCUAUCAGCUUGUUGGUGAGGUAAUGGCUCACCAAGGCGUCGACGGGUAGCCGGCCUGAGAGGGUGACCGGCCACACUGGGACUGAGACACGGCCCAGACUCCUACGGGAGGCAGCAGUGGGGAAUAUUGCACAAUGGGCGCAAGCCUGAUGCAGCAACGCCGCGUGAGGGAUGACGGCCUUCGGGUUGUAAACCUCUUUUAGCAGGGAAGAAGCCUUCGGGUGACGGUACCUGCAGAAAAAGCGCCGGCUAACUACGUGCCAGCAGCCGCGGUAAUACGUAGGGCGCAAGCGUUAUCCGGAAUUAUUGGGCGUAAAGAGCUCGUAGGCGGUUUGUCACGUCUGCUGUGAAAACUGGAGGCUCAACCUCCAGCCUGCAGUGGGUACGGGCAGACUAGAGUGCGGUAGGGGAGAUUGGAAUUCCUGGUGUAGCGGUGGAAUGCGCAGAUAUCAGGAGGAACACCGAUGGCGAAGGCAGAUCUCUGGGCCGUUACUGACGCUGAGGAGCGAAAGGGUGCGGAGCAAACAGGCUU
Molecule: ribosomal RNA, 711 nt
Filed under: Microbacterium sp.
Lineage: Bacteria; Bacillati; Actinomycetota; Actinomycetes; Micrococcales; Microbacteriaceae
Description: bacterial SSU rRNA
Rfam family: Bacterial small subunit ribosomal RNA
Source: RNAcentral